GGACGACUUUGUGUGGCUAAAAAGGAGUAAGAAUUCCGAGUCCAUGUAAAAACAUUUAUUGAUUCCUUAUCCACCCAGAAGCUGCUGCUUCUGCUUGCCUUGAAGACCUUCAGCUGUAGAAGUUUUUUUGAAAUCACUGAACUUUGAAGUUUAUAAAACCAGAAAUGCACAUCUGUUUGUAUGAUGGGACCUCCCUGAAUGCUACAACUGGAUGCCAUGUGGAGAACACUUAGCUGAACAAGGAAACAUUUAAAGUACCGACAAGGAGGUAAAUAUUCUCUGUCACUUUAUCCCGAAGAGCCUUUUCCCUUGGUCUAUUAGAAUUGUCCAUUUUAAACUAUAGGAGCCUGGACAAUUAGCAAAAAAACCAAAUAAACUUAUCCACUUUCAUCAUUCCAUUCAUUGGAACCUGCCAGGCUGUGCCAGUGAAUGGCUCAGCCCCACUGAGUAUCUCAGACUCCUCAGUGCAGGAAAACCAGUGAGCUUUUCAGUGUUUCUUAAAUGUUAAAAAUAGCUAGAGGUCAGACUGAAAGGGAUUCCUGUUGUGAAUUAGCCAGCAUCCCUAUUUUAUAGCCUGGCAUUAAGGAUUGCAAUAUUCUAUUUCUUAGAUUAUUACAAGUGCAGUUGUAAGGUGAUGAAAGAAUAGCAGAGGUCAAGGAUGGAAGUUAGAUUAUAGUUCUAUUGGAGGAAGAGCUCAGUUGCAGAGUGCCAUAAUCAGACAAUUCUCCCUGUAGCUGAAUUGUACUCAGAGAUUGUGCCUUGAGGAUGAAUAUUUGAAAUAAGGGGACUUGGGUUUUCUAUACGCAUUUUUUAUCUAUUACAACUGCUUACUAUAUGUUAAUUUCCUUAAUUGUAACCAUUUCCCAGGCCAUGACUUGAUUCUCAAGUCUGAUUAAUAUAAUCUUGGUCAUUGUAACAUGGAAAGCUUAAAGUUUGAAGACACCAAGAGAUACCUGUUUGUUUUUAUCACAUUUGUGGUAUUUGGUUUUGUAUUAACUGUUCCAAAGUAAUCUCUUCUCCCCUGUAUCAAAUAAAGUGAGCAAAUUACUUAAACUGAAAACACUGCAUGAAAGUAUGAAUGGGUACACAAUAGGAAUGUUAUUCUGAUUUUACGUGUACUGGUCUGUAUUUUGCAUAUUGCACAGGAGCAAACCCACAGUAAGGGACAGCAGAGUCCUGUGAACAGCAGAGGUGUGGAAAGCAGAAUAGACUCCCAAAGCCUGACUCCUGUAUCAACUCCAUUUUUACCUCUGAUGUUUUAAUUUACUGAAUUAUAUCUAUUAUGAAGUGUACAUGAUGAAAAAUACAGCAAUUUGCUGGUACAAAGCCAGUGUAAUGUGGCUUCAAGGAGCAUACAGAGACGGAAAAAAGCCUACUUAUAUUUAUGAUAAAAGUCCUA
Long non-coding RNA from Poecile atricapillus (Black-capped chickadee), 1399 nucleotides. RefSeq lists it as uncharacterized. Lineage: Eukaryota; Metazoa; Chordata; Aves; Passeriformes; Paridae. The record is from RefSeq and is a predicted model, not a curated record. The transcript has 2 exons.